UCUGAAUAAAAUAAACCAUCUUGUUGGCCUUCUUUGGCCUGUUGAUCACGCGCCCCCUAGUGGAGGCUUCAGAACGUCCCCUUGGUCCACGUGGAAAUUGAGUUCCGCUGCCUGACUUCAGUCCUUGAGUCCUCAAGAUAAAACCAGGAAGAAGAGGGUGCUGAUUUAUGGGGCAACAGGAGCCACAUCGGAACUGUAUGUAGAGACUUCGGCACAUCCCACAGAGCUCUUGGACUUUGAGCUUGAUGCCAUGACUGGAUGGGACUUUUAUGUGGUCUCCGUU
Molecule: long non-coding RNA, 283 nt
Organism: Lemur catta (Ring-tailed lemur)
Lineage: Eukaryota; Metazoa; Chordata; Mammalia; Primates; Lemuridae
Exons: 3
Source: RefSeq, a predicted model, not a curated record